This 305-nucleotide ribosomal RNA is filed under the name uncultured bacterium. Its description in RNAcentral is "bacterial SSU rRNA". It matches the Rfam family "Bacterial small subunit ribosomal RNA", at positions 338 to 660 of the family's 1533-position model. The record is from RNAcentral.
CCUACGGGGCGCAGCAGUGGGGAAUAUUGCACAAUGGGGGGAACCCUGAUGCAGCGACGCCGCGUAGGUGAAGGAGUACUUCGGUACGUAAAGCCCUAUCAGCAGGAAAGAAAAUGACGGUACCUGAAGAAGAAGCCCCGGCUAACUACGUGCCAGCAGCCGCGGUAAUACGUAGGGGGCAAGCGUUAUCCGGAUUUACUGGGUGUAAAGGGGGCGCAGACGGCGAUGCAAGCCAGGAGUGAAAGCCCGGGGCCCAACCCCGGGACUGCUCUUGGAACUGCGUGGCUGGAGUGCAGGAGGGGCAG